RNA transcript from Myotis daubentonii (Daubenton's bat), 2343 nucleotides. It is a transcript of the gene named tyrosine 3-monooxygenase/tryptophan 5-monooxygenase activation protein theta, with no coding region annotated. The record is from RefSeq and is a predicted model, not a curated record. NCBI's taxonomy places the organism in Eukaryota, Metazoa, Chordata, Mammalia, Chiroptera, Vespertilionidae.
CGGUGCCACGCGGCGCGUCAUUGGGCGGCGGGCGCGAGGGCAGCGGCGCGGCGGCCCGCCCCUCGGCUGCGGGCUAGGCUGAGACGGGAGGGUCCUCGACUAAAGCCAGGAGCGGAUCAAAGUGGUGGGACUCGCGCCGCGGCCGCGGAGACGUGAAGGCCCUCCGCACGCCGCCUCCGACCCGCCGGUGCUCGCCCGCGCUCUCCUCCCCGUCCCCAUGGAGAAGACGGAGCUGAUCCAGAAGGCGAAGCUGGCCGAGCAGGCCGAGCGCUACGACGACAUGGCCACCUGCAUGAAGGCCGUGACGGAGCAGGGCGCCGAGCUGUCCAACGAGGAGCGCAACCUGCUGUCGGUGGCCUACAAGAACGUGGUGGGCGGCCGCCGGUCCGCCUGGAGGGUCAUCUCGAGCAUCGAGCAGAAGACCGACACCUCGGACAAGAAGCUGCAGCUCAUCAAGGACUACCGGGAGAAGGUGGAGUCCGAGCUGCGCUCCAUCUGCACCGCCGUGCUGGAAUUGUUGGAUAAGUAUUUAAUAGCCAACGCAACUAAUCCAGAGAGCAAGGUCUUCUAUCUGAAAAUGAAGGGCGAUUACUUCCGGUACCUGGCUGAAGUUGCAUGUGGUGAUGAUCGAAAACAAACGAUAGACAAUUCCCAAGGGGCUUACCAAGAGGCUUUUGAUAUCAGCAAGAAGGAGAUGCAGCCCACACACCCGAUCCGCCUGGGGCUGGCUCUCAACUUCUCCGUGUUCUACUAUGAGAUCCUCAAUAACCCCGAGCUCGCCUGCACGCUGGCCAAGACGGCUUUUGACGAGGCCAUUGCAGAACUCGAUACACUGAAUGAAGACUCGUACAAAGACAGCACCCUCAUCAUGCAGUUGCUUAGGGACAACCUCACAAUGAUAAUAGAAAAAAUAAUGAAGAAAAAAAAUACAGGUUGAGCUUUCCUUAGCUUCUUCUAUAGGUUCAAGUAAAUUUGAUGUGUCAAAACCUUAGACCGACUGGAAGAAGGGGAACCCCACCCCCACCCCCGUCUUAUAAAUGUAGUUCUCCUCCCCAAGCCCUGCUGGGGCUCCCACUUUUGCUGGAUAGGAUUCUUUCUCAUCCCAGCACCGUAUCUGCUCAGCUUUGAUGAGCAGGGAAGUUAUGAAAGCACUGUCUUCCCAGCCGUUAGAAAUCCCUGUAGUUCUCAGUUACAGAAGAAUGAACAGCAUAAACCGCUUCUGUGGAAGAAAGGCACGCUGAGCGAUUGGACCUCUUCCCAGACACGGCCUGGUGCUUUAUGGACAUCGGACAGUGCAGGAGAAGAAUGUGACGCGGCAGAAGGCGCGGAAAACUGACCGCGGACAGGGUGGCGUCCUCCCCUCCAGAAACCUCUGUGCACAUCUCCAUUCCUUCCUCCAUGUGGAUUUCCUAGAGCAAAGAAACCAUUCACGUGUACGGAAUCAGCUGUUCCUAGCCUUUCACACUGCAGCUGUGGGAAACUCCAUUCCUUGAUUUGUGUUUGUCUUGGCCCUCCUGGUGUGCAGUCACUGCUGUAGCAAAGUAUUAAUAGCUCCAUUUCACAUAAACACAAGUAACUUCCAAACACUUACGUAGAGGACUAAAAAUGCAUUUGGUAUUUAAGUAAUCUGAACCAGUUCUGCAAGUGACUGUGUUUUGUAUUACUGUGAAGAUCUGAAAAUGUAGUUAAUUACAGUUAAAAGAGUGUUUUACAUAACUUCUUAAUUUCUACAUUCCCUCCCUUACUCUUUGGGGGUUUCCUAUCAGUGAGCAAGUUUCCAUGUUCUUAAUGUAUUCCUUUUGGGCAGGAAUCCGGAAGUAUUAGGUUGAAUGGGAAGCAUUUGAUAAUUCUGGGCUGCGGGUCACAAAUUGAAAAGCCUCCUGUGUCACACAUGGUGGAGGUCUUGGGUAGCUGUGACAACAGGGAGUUUCCUCAUUCACUCUUCAUUUGCUGCUGUUUUGGUUGACAACUUCCCUUCCUAAUAAAAAUUCACUUACACCUUCUGCCUUUGUAGUUCUGGUGUUCACUUUACUAGACAAUAAAGUAGCAUGAUGCUGCCAGAAUACAAGCGUUGCUUUUGGCAAAUUAAAGUGCAUGUCAUUUCUUAAUACCGUAGAAUGGGGAAAUAAAGUACACAAGUCCAAGUUUAAAAUUUUAGUACUUUUCCAUGCAGAUUUGUGCACAUGUGAGAGGUGUCCAGUUUGUUUAGCGAUUGUUAUUUAGAGAGUUGGGCCACCACUGUGUGUUGCUAAUCAUUGACUGCAGUCCCAAAAAAGCCUUUGAAAAUGUUAUGCCCUAUGUAACAGCAGAGUAACGUAAAAUAAAAUUGCAUUUUAUAAACCA